Long non-coding RNA from Lolium perenne, 2844 nucleotides. RefSeq lists it as uncharacterized. Lineage: Eukaryota; Viridiplantae; Streptophyta; Magnoliopsida; Poales; Poaceae. The record is from RefSeq and is a predicted model, not a curated record.
CAUCCUAAGCACUCAUUUCCUUCUCUCUCUGCAUCAAUCACCACAGGAGAUGAGAGAGCAACGGAAAGGAGGCGGGUCGUGCGCGGCUCCGUGAGGCCGCCGCCGACGAGCGCAUCGCUGGAGGCUCCACCAAGACGCCUCUGACAUCCGCCGUCGUUCUGCCUUGCCCCCAUCCUUCUGCCUUGCCUCUCACCUCCAUCAAAUCGCCAUUGCUGAAGCGGAACUCCAGACUCUAGAUGACUGCUUAGUAGUUUGGAACUGAACUUUUACUGCGAUAAUUUCUGAAGGGGGAGGAGAACAACCACUCUCCCAUAUUCUGCCGGUAUGCCUCUGCCCCUAUAUCUAAAUCAGGAAAUCGCUGAGGUGGUGGCAAUUAGUUCCUAUCUUGAUUAUGUUCGGAAAUAGAUACCUGCGUUUUUCUGGCUAAACUGGUUUGUGUUGCGUGGCUGAUUUUAAGGAAACUUGCAAGUUAUAGGGUUUGAUUAUUUCCCUACAUAUGCACAUCGUUGUAGGUUUGUUGCGGAAUUCUGACUUUUGAUUUUAUCUACUCUUUUUGCGGGUCAAUGUCUGCACUUUGUAGAUAGUUUGCUAGACAGUUCAUUUCAGGUCGAGUCUGAUCUUGUUUCGUCUUGAUUAACAUAGUUUGGCCUCAGCAAAGCAUACAUUUUGUACAAAAUAUUAUUAUCUAUUGACAACGGUGCAUGAUAACUUUGAUUAUGACCGUACAGAUUAUUUUCGCAGAGGAACACAUAUUCUGUUGAUGAUGAAAAUUUGCGUAGGUGGAUAGUCAGUCUGAUCAGGCACAUGUAGAUCAAAAACUACUUAUCCACAUGUAGGUCAAAAACUUGCGAGUUCUCACUCUUGAUCAGGCCCUAAAGUUACUAGGUGGACCUUACAUGGCGCAGGCAGCUGCAAGGUGGUGAAUCGACAAUGCCUGAUAUGAAACCGUACACAUAGUCCCCACGACUAGCCUGCCUUCAAAUUCCCGUGGAUCGACGCAGACAUCAACUUCAGGAGCAAGGAGUAGUUCGUGCAGGUGCUGCAGCAGCAGCCGCUGGCUUCAUCUGGGGCAUUCGUGCAGGUGCUGCAGCAGCAGCCGCUGACUUCAUCUGGGGCAGCUCCAGGUUCCGGGGCAUCACCCUGUACAAGUGUGGCAGGUGGGAGGCUAGGUCAUGGGCAAGAAGCCAAGAAGUAAUCUUUAUUCGUCAGGGAAAAAUGCGUUAACUUUCCACAGGGCUUACGACAAGAUUGCAUCGAAAGCUGCGGGGAGGAGGCGCGACCAACUUCCUGGAGUAUGAUACAGGCCCAGGAUAUCCUCCAGCUCGACCAAAUCAGCCGCGUCCAUCGCUGACAUCUUACCACCCGCUUUGGAGUGUGUCUGGGCCGAACCAAAUGGCACAAUAAGGCGUGAGUUUUUUUUCCUCCACGGUGAUCUUCGACAGAUGCCUCUUUCCUCUCCCUGGGUUCUUAGGCUUCUAUUGCUUUUGUGUAUAAUUUUUUUGAAUUGGUAUGCUUAAGAGCUAAGUUGAUUAGUGUGAGUAACAUAACUUAUUAGGGCUCCCCUCCAAGGAACAUGUAACAAAUUAGUAGUCAUGAAGCCAUGUUAGAGAUCAGUGUGGGAGAAAUUCAUAUAAAAUCGAGAGAGCCAGUGUGCUGCUAACGUCACAAAGAGUUCUGAAUUUACUUCGUUUGAAGCCCCGGUAUAAUAAGCAUCCAUGUGACCUUCCCCCAGUACAUCUCUUUUCUUGGGUCAAAAAGGAAGCUGUUGCAUUAGCAGGAUAAAAGAAUAUUGGUUAACCAAAUAUUAAGUGGUAAUUUCCCCUAUUUUCUGGUCAAAUGAAGUUCUAAGCCCACCAAGUUAUUAUUUCUUGGGUUGUAUUCAAAACCUGAAAUCAUUAAUUUUUUUUAGGAGCAUAGUCAAUUGAUUUUCAGGAGUAUAGAUGUAGUCAGUCCUUCCGACAUUAUCAAUGGGAAGCUAAUAUAAUUACCAAGUAGUGUCUUAUUAUACCACUUCGUUCAACGAAUUGAUAGUGCCUUUCAAAAUAUGUUCCGUGAACAGUUGUGCAGUUUUCAGUUUUCUUUGUUGAAAACUUGAAAUACGUUUAUCAGGUAAAAUUUACUUGGCUAGAAAACAUUUCAAACAGCAGUCAGCUCUUUUAUGUGUUUUAGAUGCCUCUCAACUCAUGGUUAUUAAAGUCUUUAUGUGUCUUAUGCUAUUCUGUUUUCUUAUUUACUAUUGCAUUUAUUCAGAAUGAACACUACCAUUCGAAAAUAAGCCUACAAUGUUGCUCUGGUUCAAGGAAUCCAUUUUUCUUUUUUUGGUUUAUUAUUCGAAAUGAUAUCAACCGUUCGGAACUGAACCUACAAUUUUGCUCUGGUUUAAGGAAUCCAUUUUUCGUUCUGGUUUAUUUAUUCAUAAUGAUCUCCACCAUUCGCAACUGAACCUACAAUUUUGCUCUGGUUCAAGGAAUACAAUUUUUUUCCUUUUUGAGUAAUUGACUUAUCUAGCUAUUUUGAACAAUGCAGGGUGGUCAGAUGUGUUUGGGUUUCCUCUUUUUGGUGUUCCACACUUCCAUUGUGGAAAUUUUUAGAACUGGCCUACCAAUUUUUUCUGCAGCAGACACUUCUUUUUUUGAUUAACUUGCAAUGUAAGCUUUAGUAAUUAGCCACAACUUCUGGAGGACAGUAGAAGAGGAUAGGUGCAUCUUUGUUGGUUCUUCCAGGUUAGGUGUUCGAUAAAUUGGGUUCUUUGGCAUCAAAAGCUAGGUGUGUAUGGCUUCAGAGGCCAUUGUACUACACCAGCUAACUGAAUUAUAUUGCAAUGUUUAUUGAUUGCCUCUCCUA